RNAcentral lists this ribosomal RNA (497 nucleotides) under uncultured bacterium. RNAcentral describes it as "partial 16S ribosomal RNA". It matches the Rfam family "Bacterial small subunit ribosomal RNA", at positions 28 to 507 of the family's 1533-position model. The record is from RNAcentral.
GACGAACGCUGGCGGCGUGCCUAAUACAUGCAAGUUGAGCGCUGAAGGUUGGUACUUGUACCAACUGGAUGAGCAGCGAACGGGUGAGUAACGCGUGGGGAAUCUGCCUUUGAGCGGGGGACAACAUUUGGAAACGAAUGCUAAUACCGCAUAAAAACUUUAAACACAAGUUUUAAGUUUGAAAGAUGCAAUUGCAUCACUCAAAGAUGAUCCCGCGUUGUAUUAGCUAGUUGGUGAGGUAAAGGCUCACCAAGGCGAUGAUACAUAGCCGACCUGAGAGGGGGGUCGGCCACAUUGGGACUGAGACACGGCCCAAACUCCUACGGGAGGCAGCAGUAGGGAAACUUCGGCAAUGGACGAAAGUCUGACCGAGCAACGCCGGGGGGGGGAAGAAGGGUCUCGGAUCGUAAAACUCGGUUGGUAGAGAAGAACGUUGGUGAGAGUGGAAAGCUCAUCAAGUGACGGUACCUACCCAGAAAGGGACGGCUAACUACGUG